Limulus polyphemus (Atlantic horseshoe crab) is the source of this 859-nucleotide long non-coding RNA. RefSeq lists it as uncharacterized. The record is from RefSeq and is a predicted model, not a curated record. The transcript has 3 exons. Lineage: Eukaryota; Metazoa; Arthropoda; Merostomata; Xiphosura; Limulidae.
ACACACACGUCAUAAACUAAAUACCGCGUUGUUGUAUGCAUUUUAAGGCUUAGGUUGUGCUGUUAUGUAUACGACUAAAGUUAAGGCUAAGUGGGUAGUGUUCAGUUGGUGUAUUAAACGGUAUUUUUAUUUAUAUAGCCUAGUCAAAGAGAAAUAAAAACACUUUUUAGAUAAACUUGUUUUAAAAACAAUUAUUUACUUUAGAAAAUAGCUUGCACAUUGCGCUGAUAUCGUUAAAACGGAGAGAAACAUAAUGUAGCCUAACAGCCCAGUCGCAUUCACAGUCACAGACCAAGGUAUCACUACAUCAGUCUAUGACUGAGUAAUUGAAAUUUAAAAUUGGAUGUUGUUUUCUUUUCGUCUCUGAAAUCUAGAUAGAUCAAAGUACACAGAUGCCCACUGGGUUACGCAUCCCAUUCUCCGACAUUUGGCCACUUGUUGACAAAUCGGUCCUUCGUAUAGAGAAUCGAAAAAGUUUGGCUACCGGUCUUCUCGGAGUGGCGGUACGAGGCCUUAUUGUCCGAUCUGUCAUCAAGACUUCUAUGAUAGACAGGUUCUGAAGAGGCACAUGGAUCGACACAAUCGCCGAAGACAGACAUUUCAAUGUGAUGUGUGUUCUAAAACCUUUCUCUAUGCAGCAGGAUUGUAUAGACAUAGGAAACAACAUGGAGGAGCACCAGUGUUUCAAUGCCCUUUGUGUCAGAAAACAUUUGUCUAUAGUUUGUCUUUAACAUCACAUUUGAAGAAUAACCAUAGUCUAUACUAAUCUUUUUUUUAUAAGCUAAUUAGAUUUAUGUUUACACUGAGGUUUAAUUAUGAUCUUCACUGAAUAUUUAUAUUUUUUCUUUAAGUUAACUUA